Molecule: ribosomal RNA, 450 nt
Filed under: uncultured bacterium
Lineage: Bacteria
Description: bacterial SSU rRNA
Rfam family: Bacterial small subunit ribosomal RNA
Source: RNAcentral
AACGAACGCUGGCGGCAUGCCUAACACAUGCAAGUCGAACGAACUCUUCGGAGUUAGUGGCGCACGGGUGCGUAACGCGUGGGAAUCUGCCCUUGGGUACGGAAUAACUCAGAGAAAUUUGUGCUAAUACCGUAUAAUGACUUCGGUCCAAAGAUUUAUCGCCCAAGGAUGAGCCCGCGUAAGAUUAGCUAGUUGGUGGGGUAAAAGCCUACCAAGGCGACGACCUUUAGCUGGUCUGAGAGGAUGAUCAGCCACACUGGGACUGAGACACGGCCCAGACUCCUACGGGAGGCAGCAGUGGGGAAUAUUGGACAAUGGGCGAAAGCCUGAUCCAGCAAUGCCGCGUGAGUGAUGAAGGCCUUAGGGUUGUAAAGCUCUUUUACCCGGGAUGAUAAUGACAGUACCGGGAGAAUAAGCUCCGGCUAACUCCGUGCCAGCAGCCGCGGUAAU